Molecule: long non-coding RNA, 547 nt
Filed under: Cricetulus griseus (Chinese hamster)
Lineage: Eukaryota; Metazoa; Chordata; Mammalia; Rodentia; Cricetidae
Description: lncRNA (ENSCGRG00015029866.1)
Source: RNAcentral
AUGAAUGACCGACAGUCCUAGAAUCUACCCCAGCCAUCACCACCAUAUGUAACUAAUACUGAAGUCAACACAAAUGCCAAGAAACAGGAGCAAGCAUUGAACCCAAUGCGUGGAUCUUGAUAAUGACAAACACCCCAUCAACUCUUACUGGGAGAAGAACUGUGAGCGCUGUGUUUGUAGAAAAGACAAGAUUUCUUGCUGCAGGCUACAGAACUUACAUGGCUGAGUACUUCAAGCAAAUGGAUUGCCAGGUAAUAUUCCACCCAGGGACCUGCACCUACACUGUGGAACAGAAAGACCCACAAAAGCCCUGUUUUAACUAAGUAGACACUGUGAACAUACUUCUGCUGGGCUCAGCACUCCCAGCCUGAAGGAUAUUUGUAAGCCAGGCUAUUCUCUAGUCACUUCUCAUAAUCUGUGAUUACAUAGCCCUACCUAAUAGUGUUUUAAAAACUUGGAUUUGAAUAUGUUUAUGUUUAAAAUUUGCCAAUUAUAUUUGUGUUGAUUUGAUGCAUGUAAUAGCACAACAAAUAAACACUUAAAGGAG